This 3565-nucleotide long non-coding RNA is filed under the name Homo sapiens (human). Its description in RNAcentral is "non-protein coding lnc-SERAC1-14:1". Lineage: Eukaryota; Metazoa; Chordata; Mammalia; Primates; Hominidae. The record is from RNAcentral.
ACCGCCGGCCGUUGGCGCCCCCCGGCCGCCCUCCCUCCCCGGCCCAGGGCUCGCGUCCCCAACGCCACCCCGCGGGCCGCCGCGCCGCCCGCCACCGGAGCCGCCGCCUGCCCGGGCCACCUGCUCGCACCCCCGGCGUCGCCACCCCGGGAGACCCCCGCCCCCGGCCCGCACCGCGCCACGGUGCCCAAGAUGCCCACAGUGCCGGGCCUAGGCCUCCAGUCUCCUGGCUCGGGACGGCCUCAGCACCCGGGCACCGCGCGGCUUGCGCGCCGUCUGAACUUCGUUUGAGCCGGAAGUGGACGUCCCAGUCCCAUUAUGUCUUACAGGGAAAGCCGCCGGGAGCACAGAAGCGCUGUCACCACCGACCCGCGCAGCUCCCCGGGAAAACGGUCACCCGAGUGGCCGCGAUGGUAACAUCCCAGAGGAUCUCUUCUUCAGUUGUCCAUGGAGAAAGGACCGGAUAGCGUCAUUUUAACUCAGGGAAGAACAAUUCACAGCCUUCCCCCUCCUGUUAAAUUUGAUGGAUGUCCUGCUAACAACGAAACUUGAUAAUCUCUUCUUUUUCCAGCUUGUGCAAAGAAAUAGCAUAGCUGAUUGUGUGACUCUUCACACGUGUAGUUUAAAAAAAAAAGCAUUCUUUUUUCCUUGAUUUGAAGCAUUAGAGGCCCCAUAUAGUUAGGAAUAGCAGCGACUCUUCCGCAAGGGCUCAGCGUUGUUUUCUGUUUUGCCUGUCUGCAAAAGUUUUCGAAUCCGUUUCAGACUUAAGAAUUACUGAUUCUGUGAAUUUUGUCAAAAAAAAAGUUGGACCGAGUUUGUUAAAUUCUGAAAUUCCAUGAAUACUCGCCUCAGCCUCCCGAGUAGCUAGGGACUACAGGUGCCCGCCACCAUGCCCAGCUCAUUUGUGAUUUUUUUUUUUUCAGUGUAGGAGUUUCGCUCUGUUGCCCUGGCUCAUCUCGAACUCCUGGCUCCAAGUGAUCCUCCUGCCUCUGCCUUCCAAAGUGUUGAGAUUACAGGCAUGAGCCACCACACUUGACCUAAUUUUACAAAUUUUGACAAAUGCUACCUAGACUUUUUUUAUUUUUAAAAAGGUAAGCCAAGCGUGGCGUGUAGUCCCCAGCUACUCCGGAGGCUGAGGCGGGUGGAUCCCUGGAGACCAGGAGCUGGGGGCCGCAGUGAGCUAUAAUCAUGCCUGUGGACUCCAGCCUGAGCAUAGCGAAACCCGGCUCUAACACAAGAAAAUUAAAUAUUAAUUUAAAAGUAACUGAACCAAGAAUAGUUGCCUCAUGUUUGAAUGCGUAUAAAUAUAAUGCAUUUAACUGUGGUCCCAGCUACUCCGGAGGCUGAGGCACGAGAAUCCUUUGAACCCCGAGAGGCAGAGGUUGCAGGGAGCCGAGAUUGCGCCACUGCACUCCAGCCUGGGUGACAGAGUGAGACCCUGUCUCAAAAAGAGUAUAUAUAUAAUAUAUAUGUAUAACGCAUUUAAUAGAAGCAUUAAGAUCAGCAUUAUUUGAUUAUAUUUUAUAAGCACUCCAAAACUUAAUUUUGAAAACCUUAAGAAAUAAAACUACAUUUACAUCUUAGAGUACCUUAAAAGAUAAUCUUCGCUCAAUGUAAUUAGUAUUGCACUUCAGUUUAGUGCUCAAUGUUAUGUUAAAUACUGUGGAGAGAUCAAAGGAAGAAUAUGAUAUGGCCCUUGCCUUCAAAAUUUACAAUUUCUGUACAGAAUUACUUUAAAAUGUGUGCAUAACUUUUUUGUUUGUUUUUUUGAGACGGAGUCUCACUCUGUUGCCCAGGCUGGGGUGCAGUGGUGUGAUCUCCGCUAACUGCAACCUCCGCCUCCCAGGUUCAAGCAAUUCUCCUGCCUCAGCCUCCCGAGUAGCUGGGAUUGCUGGGAUUACAGGCGCUACCACCAUGCCCAUCUAAUUUUGUAUUUUUAAUAGAUACGAGGUUUCACCAUGUUGGCCAGGCUGGUCUCAAACUCCUGACCUCAGGUUAUCUGCCCACCUCGGCCUCCCAAAGUGCUGGAAUUACAGGCAUGAGUCACCACUCCUGGCCAAAAUAUAUACAUAACAUUUUUUAAACCCUUUCUCUCUUGCGCGCGCGCGCACACACACACGGAUCAGGGAUCAGCAUUCAUUUGCUUGGCCCUGGCCUGGAGCAAAUUAUGGAAAUUUUGACCCUUGCUGUCAGACUAAAGAGAAGAAGGAUUAAAGAUGAACUUUCUUGACUUAAUAAAUACAAUCUAUGUAACAGUAUAAAAAUGAUACAACAAAUACCAUCAAGACUGAAUGAUACAGGUGUUCUUGCUUCUGCAAAAUGAAAAAAAAAAUACAAACCUUGAAACUACUCUUCUAAUAAUACCAUAGUUUUCCAUAAGGCCCACAGGUAUAAACUCUCUCUUAUCCAGCACUCUUGGGUACAAAUACACCCAACUCUCAGCAAAACUGAGAAGUCCCUCAAGUUUGUUUUCUGCCUGUGUCAUUUUGCACAGUGUCAGUGGUUUUGCGAAUGUCUUUGGAGCAAAUAUCUUCACUGAAGUCCUGGUUCUACCACUUACUAACAAGUGACAAACAAGAACAAUAUUCCAAAUGCUGUGUCUUUAGCCAUACAUUCAAAAAACAAUAUCUCCCUCACAGUGCUGUUGAAAUAAUCAAAUAAAAUAUGUAAAUUAUAUGCCUGGCACACAAGAGGUGCUCAGUCAAAAAAUAAUACUUGGGCCGAGCACAGUGGCUCAUGCCUGUAUUCCCAGUACUUUGGGAGGCCAAGGCAGGUGGAUCACCUGUGAUCAUGAGUUCAAGACCAGCCUGACCAACGUGACAAAACCCCAUCUGUACUAAAAAUACAAAAAUUAGCCGGGCGUGGUGGCACACACCUGUCAUCCCAGCUACUUGUGAGGCUGAGGCAGGAGAAUCACUUGAACCCAGGAGGCAGAGGUUGCAGUGAGCCGAGAUCAUGCCACUGCACUCCACCCUGGGAGACACAGCGAGACUCUCUCUCAAAUAAUAAUAGUAAUAAGCCGGGUGCGGUGGCUCACGCCUGUAAUCUCAGCACUUUGGGAGGCCAAGGUGGGCGGAUCACCUGAGGUCGGGAGUUUGAGUCCAGCCUGACCAACAUGGAGAAACCCUGUCUCUACUAAAAAUACAAAAAAUUAGCCGGGCAUGGUGGCGCAUGCCUGUAAUCCCAGCUACUUGGGAGGCUGAGGUAGAAGAAUGGCUUGAACCCAGGAGGCGGAGGUUGCAGUGAGCCGAGAUUGUGCCAUUGCACUCCAGCCUGGGCAAAAAGGGCGAAACUCCGUCUCAAAAAAAAAAAUACUACCACUACUAACAAUAAUACCUCCAACCUGAACAUGGUGAAACCCCGUCUCUAAUAAAAAUACAAAAAUUAGCUUGGCCUGGUGGCGGCCGCCUGUAGUCCCAGCUCCUCAGCAGGCUGAAGCAGGAGAAUUGCUUGAACCUGGGGGGCAGAGUUUGCAGUGAGCCAGGAUUGUGCCACUGCACUCCACCCUGGGCGACAGAGUGAGUCUCCAUCUCAAAAAUAAUAAUAAUAAUACCUAAGGACCAGA